AAGCCACAUGCCGGUGAGUUAGUAGUUGGGUGGGUGACCACCAGCGAAUCCUCACUGUUAUAUGUUUUUGUUUCUAUUUU
Molecule: unclassified non-coding RNA, 80 nt
Filed under: Penicillium rubens Wisconsin 54-1255
Lineage: Eukaryota; Fungi; Ascomycota; Eurotiomycetes; Eurotiales; Aspergillaceae
Description: small non coding RNA
Source: RNAcentral